GAUGAACGCUAGCGGGAGGCCUAAUACAUGCAAGUCGAGCGGUAGAGUGACUUCGGUUGCUUGAGAGCGGCGAACGGGUGAGUAACGCGUACACAAUCUACCUUUAAGAGGGGAAUAGCCCUGGGAAACUGGGAUUAAUGCCCCAUGGCAUCACGAAGUGGCAUCGCUUUGUGAUUAAAGCUGAGGUGCUUAGAGAUGAGUGUGCGUCUGAUUAGCUAGUUGGUGCGGUAACGGCGCACCAAGGCGACGAUCAGUAGGGGGCGUGAGAGCGUGGACCCCCACACGGGUACUGAGACACGGACCCGACUCCUACGGGAGGCAGCAGUAAGGAAUAUUGGUCAAUGGAGGAAACUCUGAACCAGCCAUCCCGCGUGCAGGAAGAAUGCCCUAUGGGUUGUAAACUGCUUUUAUCUGGGAAGAAAAGUCGGCAUUUAUGCUGAUCUGACGGUACCAGAGGAAUAAGCACCGGCUAAC
Molecule: ribosomal RNA, 474 nt
Filed under: uncultured bacterium
Lineage: Bacteria
Description: bacterial SSU rRNA
Rfam family: Bacterial small subunit ribosomal RNA
Source: RNAcentral